RNAcentral lists this transfer RNA (77 nucleotides) under compost metagenome. RNAcentral describes it as "tRNA-Asp". It matches the Rfam family "tRNA". From Rfam's summary of the family: Transfer RNA (tRNA) molecules are approximately 80 nucleotides in length. Their secondary structure includes four short double-helical elements and three loops (D, anti-codon, and T loops). The record is from RNAcentral.
GGGCUCAUAGUUCAGAUGGCUAGAACGCUGCAUUGUCAGUGCAGAGGUCAGGGGUUCAAGUCCCCUUGGAGCCGCCA